AAUUUAUAAAUUGGAAAUCCAGACGCCUAAUCUAAAUUUUUAGAUAUUAUUAGAGAAUAAAUGAUCAACUGGAAAAAGUGCUGAUAAAUUUUUAGAUAUUACCGAAACAGAAAAUAUUUGUAAGAAGGAAAUGACAAAAAGAAACAAAUAAUAUGUCUAACGAUAAUUAGUGACGUAAGGAAAUAUCUUACCUACAUACAAAUAAAAGCAGUGCGCAAGUGGGUGACGUUGUUUUGCGGCUGAACUUGAAAUGUUAGGUGUAUGAUUACUUUUUUUUUUUUUCACUAAGUGUUGUCUUUCUUGUAUUAAGAACAUACCUUGUAUUAAGAACAUACAUCAAAAAGUACACUAGUUGACCUUCCACUUACAGGAUGAAGACAAACACUAUAACAAGAAAAAACAUGAUCUAACAAAACACAAUGUUGAUCAUGCCGAAAAUCAAAAAGUGAUGAGUAAACUGAAACAACAACAGCAGAUAAGAGAAGUCAUAACCAAAAAGAGUUCCACCGGCUCUACUUCCAUCUGCUACUUUUGCAAACCUUAGACCUGCAAACUUGUACCAUUGCAGUCCCUAUUAUUCAAACGUUUAAGUUGCCAACAAGGAUCCUCAGCAGCAACAAAAGCCAAAAAAUGACAGAAUUUGCAGAGUGUUUAACGCUUCUUAGGAGGUUUCAGAAUACCUCCUUCCUUAUGCUCCUCAACUCUAUGAGUUCUUCCUUCUUCAUCACUCCCAGGUCUUCCCAUAUUCUUCCUUUUUAUUGAGUCUCCCUUAUCCAAUUGAGUCCUUGAAGCUCCAAACUCUCCUUGUCAUGAACAUUCACCUACUUCAACCACUCGAGGAACAUUUGCACCAAAUGCAGGACCCGUAAACGGUUGUACAUUAGAGUUUCUUGACGCCUCUUGCCUGCGAGAUGGAGGAUUAAGAUUUAAUGUUCCUAUAUUUGGUAAAGAACCUGCUCUGCCUUCUGGAAAAUAAGCAGCCCUAAAUUCAUCAGGAUUCAAAGGAGGAGCUGCCACUCUUGGAGGAGGUUCAAUAGGUGCUGGAAAGGCGUUCUCAGACAUCUGUGAUUGGGAGUUCAGGGAAGAACGAUGAUAUUCAUCCCGGGUACACACUCCUUCUCUUCUAGACCUAGUGAGAUUGUUGGUAGGACCACGAAUGAUAGAACGAGGCUCAGGUUGUCGAUAAGGGCAGUAAUUCCUAUGAUGAGUCAGCCUGAAACAGCUACUGCAAAUUCGCCUUAGUCUUUCAUAUUGAAACCUUAUCAGCGCAGUCUCACCAGAAUCAAAGGUAAUUCUUUGGAAGAACCUUAUACGAUCAGUGAUCUCAAAUCGGAUUCUCACUCUAAUAAAAGCUAUUUGGGUUGUAGUAGCAUCAUGAAAAUCCAAUGAUAUAAUUUGCCCUAAACCAAGAGCUAUCUCUGUCACUGUGGCUUCACAAACAUAGAGGAGAGGAAUCCCACGCAUUUGAACCCACAACUCAAUGUUAGACAAGUAUUCAAAAGCCGAGUUUACCUCCCAACGAUGAGCCGUGACAAACCAACUAUUGUAAAGCCAGGGUUCCCUUCGUAGCACAGACAAGAGAUCCAGCUCUCCCGUGAACUCUAGAUGUCAGACCCCAAACCCUUGGCAAGGCAGCAACCACAACAUUAAGAUUUUGAGCUCUAGGAUUAAGAGGCCUUGCAAUCAGGCUAAGUCUAUUCCGUGAUUCAUUAGUUGCAUAAGCAACAUACGAAAUAAACAAAGGAGGAUCCUCUCUUCCUAACUCUAACUGUUGUAAUUCAUCCCACAACUCAUCAGCCAUAAUACCAGGAAAGGAGAAGCACAAGAGAAGAUGAGAUGAGACUCGACUUAUAAACCUAAGACAGAACUCGUAUAUAUAGCACAAACUAGUCUACCCAUAAGACCCGACUAAAGACAAAAGAGAAUAAAAAACCUAUCCUUAUAAGAAGAUAAUUAACAAAAGAAAAGGAAAAACAUAAUUGCUAAAAAGACCUCGAGAAAAUUUAAAU
Molecule: small RNA, 2009 nt
Filed under: Arabidopsis thaliana (thale cress)
Lineage: Eukaryota; Viridiplantae; Streptophyta; Magnoliopsida; Brassicales; Brassicaceae
Description: ATSL102700
Source: RNAcentral